Long non-coding RNA from Centrocercus urophasianus (Greater sage-grouse), 3906 nucleotides. RefSeq lists it as uncharacterized. Lineage: Eukaryota; Metazoa; Chordata; Aves; Galliformes; Phasianidae. The transcript is spliced from 2 exons. The record is from RefSeq and is a predicted model, not a curated record.
AUUGCAUGCAUCGUUACAGGUUGGGGGAUGAGCUGCUGGAGGAAUGGCUAUGUGACAAAGGGCACGUAAACAUGGUACAGCUCGCUGAUCACGAGUUUGAGAAUUACAGAACUCAGCUUGUCUGAAUUGUUAACAUCUCAAGGACACACGACAUGGUGGAUACAAAGAAACAGAAGCAAUAUCUAAAGGAAUGAAGAACAGGCAUAAGGUGGGAGGGAUUGGCAUUCAGCUUCAAGCACCAAUGAUGAGCUCGCUUUUGCACUAUGUGUGAGGAUUAUUAAGACAUGUAUAAAAGAGAAUCUUUGGUAAUCAAGAAACGAGACUUGUUGAUCACUCAUAUUGAGUGCCAGGUUCUCCUUGUUACCACAAAUUGUCAAAAAGGCAAGAAUGUUUGUCCAGAGUUAAUAAGCUUAGCUUGCGAAAACACAAACCUGCCUUACUGGAAGCUUGCGCAAACAGGGAACUCGCACAAAUACGGUCAAAGGUUAGCGAUUGUGUAAUCGACCAAUAGGAUUCGCUUAUAUGAGCAACAUACCAUAAAUGGGAACCCCCAGAAGGGGUCAAGAAAAGGAUACGGAGGAAGACUACUUACUUCAACCCAUACGACCACCGGGAGGCAGAAGAAGACCCCCUAGCAACAGCCGGAUCAUGCGCAGAGUACACCACAAUGGGAAAAUGGAAGGACACGAACUGCAUAAAAGGAUCGGGUACUGGUUCAAACCUUGCGACAGUUGGUGGAACGCAGAGUCCCCUGUCGCCCAGCGCUGCAUUGCCUCUUUGUUCUUUGCUCAUUAUAAUUAAUAAAUUCAAUAAUUGACUCCUUAACUUUUGGUCCAUCAUUCUACCUAUUACAAUUGGUGCCGUGACUCGGAUAGGAAUAGUGGCUGGGUUCUGAGGGUUGGGGAGGCGCCCCACCAGAAUUGGCGGCCCCACCCUUGACUCCCUGCCUUACUCCUACCGACGAUCCGAAAUUUAAGAGCAAAAAGGCAAGAAAGGAUCGGUCGACCCCUUAAAUUUUGUGCACAAAGGUCUGGACGAAGACGCAGGACGCGGACUUCUGCGAAGACAAUAGAGUAAAACAGUUGAACAGAAGAAACCCAUAUAAUCCCUCUGGUGAAGAAACCUCAGCCCAUCUGAAGAAGCUAAAUGGUUGGGGCAUGGUUUGAACACCUGCUUUUUGCUGUACAGUGCUCAAUAGGGUUUGUAAUAGCAUUAAUCUUGUCACUAAUUUUGUAUUUUUUUGUGGAAAGUCGUUAAAUGUGGAAAAGGGGUUUGUGUUUAUGGAUAGAGAAGAAUGAAAAUUAUUUUUAGGACUUUGAAAGACGAAUUUGUUAAAUACUUUAAUAGAAUAUUAAGUGAGGUCAGCCUACCAAGUCUGCCCUGAAUACAACGGGUAUACAGCUGUAAGGGUUGGCCGAUUGUUGAAAAGGCUCCGGAACCAAACUCCUGAGACACUCUGUGGAUAAGUGCCUGGAUUGCCCCAAGGGGUUCAAUAGUGAAUAUAACAGACUGUGAUGGGGAAAAGUUCACCUUCGAGUAGGUCUUCUGCUGCCGAGAAGAUAAAAACCCCUGUAACUGGCUGCAACCCAGUUGACAGGCGAGGCAGAGAUGGACCUCGGGUGAAGGGACGAUACUUGGCCCCGAAGACUAUCAUUUUGGUCUGUGCAUCUAUUUUACUCCCGGGGGUACGGGCCAAUAAUCCACACGAGCCUAUGAUAUGGGAAUUAUUCAACAUGCAACAACCUGACCAACCCUUGAAAAGCUGUAAAAAUCAAACCCACGUAAAUUUUACCGUUUCUUUAAGAAAGUUAAUUACGGGACACCGCAGAGAUAGGGCAGAUAACUGUAUGGGAUUUUAUGUUUGUCCCGCUUCAAACAGAGGGAGAAAUUAUUGUAACUUGCCAAAUCAUUACUACUGUGGUUACUGGGGAUGUGAGACAUGGUCAUCUGAAUGGCCCACAGAUAUUAAAGACCCAGAUAUACAGGUGGAAUGGUUCCCUCCUGGUUGCAAACGACCCACCAUAGGAAGAGAUGGGCACGUUUACGGACAUUGUGAGGAUGGUGGAUACUGUAAGGAAAUUAAUAUAAAGGUUCAAGAGCCUACGAAAGAUGGUUGGUUAGUUGGAAGAAUGUGGGGAAUUAGAUUUUGGGAACCAGGUCCAGACAGGGGUGGUAUAUUUAGAAUAGCAAAGAGAAGUAUGCCACAUGAUUCCCCAUUGUCUAUAGGCCCAAAUAUAGUAUAAGGCACCACCACCUACACUCAGUGAUCCACUAUGGGGCAUUAUGCAAGCCGCAUAUGCUGCCCUGAAUAAAACGCAACCAAACUUAACUAACGAGUGUUGGUUGUGCUAUAGUGCUAGACCACCUUAUUACGAGGCAGUUGGAGAACCAAGCAAGGUCACGUGGAAUAAUGGAACAAAUCCUGCUGCAUGCCCAUGGGAUAGUAAUCACACCCAGGGGUUAACUAUACAACAUGUCACAGGGAAAGGAAAGUGUGUUGGAACCAUACCAGAACAAUAUAAAAGUCUUUGUAACAGCACAAUAUCUUAAGGUAGAAUAAAGAACAAGGCAAACGCAAAAUUUAAAUGGCUAAUCCCCACAGCAGGUGCAAAGUGGGUAUGUUCAGAUAUCGGAAUGACACCAUGUAUAUCAUUAGAGGUAUUUAAUAGAUCUGAAUUUUGUAUACAAGUAGUAAUUAUCCCGCGAUUAAUGUAUCACUCUGAUGAAGAGGUUAUGUAUCAGCUUGAAGGGAGCCUCAUCAGACAGAAAAGAGAGCCUAUAACAGCAAUUACUUUAGCAACCCUCUUGAUUGCCGGAAGUGUGGGUGCCGGAACCGGCAUAGCCUCACUCGUCAAAAGUAACGAGAUACAAAGUUUACAACAAGCUGUAGAUGAAGAUCUAGACAGAAUAGAACAGUCAAUUGAUAAAUUGGCAACUUCGGUCAAAUCAUUAUCAGGGGUGGUAUUACAAAAUCGAAGAGGAUUAGACCUCCUAUUCCUAAAGGAAGGGGGACUAUGCGUAGCACUACAAGAAGAAUGUUGUUCAUUCGUUGAUCAUACCGGGAUAGUUAAGGAUUCCAUGGCUGAACUUCGUAAGAGAUUGGAACAACGAAAAAGGGAUAGGGAAAUAGGAAGAUCCUGGUAUGAGGGUUGGUUUAACAUAUCACCAUGGCUCACUACUUUACUGUCUGCUCUGGCUGGACCCUUGAUCACGAUUAUUCUGGGGCUAAUAUUUGGACCAUGUAUAAUUAAAUGAUUAUUACAACUGAUAAAGAAGCGAUUUGACACCACGAAAUUGCUAAUCUUAAUGCAAAUGACUCCGCAGAGGGAAAUAGAGAAAUUGUAAAUAGAAAAAGUGUGAUAUUCCAUCCCAUGAUCACAAUUAUGAAAGGAGAAUUGUAACUAUGAAAAUUGGAGGACAAACAUUCAACGAUAAAAGAAAAGGGGGGAAAUUGUCAAAAAGGCAAGAAUGUUUGUCCAGAGUUAAUAAGCUUAGCUUGCGAAAACACAAACCUGCCUUACUGGAAGCUUGCGCAAACAGGGAACUCGCACAAAUACGGUCAAAGGUUAGCGAUUGUGUAAUCGACCAAUAGGAUUCGCUUAUAUGAGCAACAUACCAUAAAUGGGAACCCCCAGAAGGGGUCAAGAAAAGGAUACGGAGGAAGACUACUUACUUCAACCCAUACGACCACCGGGAGGCAGAAGAAGACCCCCUAGCAACAGCCGGAUCAUGCGCAGAGUACACCACAAUGGGAAAAUGGAAGGACACGAACUGCAUAAAAGGAUCGGGUACUGGUUCAAACCUUGCGACAGUUGGUGGAACGCAGAGUCCCCUGUCGCCCAGCGCUGCAUUGCCUCUUUGUUCUUUGCUCAUUAUAAUUAAUAAAUUCAAUAAUUGACUCCUUAA